RNAcentral lists this non-coding RNA (24 nucleotides) under Arabidopsis thaliana (thale cress). Lineage: Eukaryota; Viridiplantae; Streptophyta; Magnoliopsida; Brassicales; Brassicaceae. The record is from RNAcentral.
UGUAGAAGUCGAGAUGCAAGCGCU